AUGCCUGUACCAUAACCGACACAGGUGGGUAGGUAGAGUAUACUAAGGGGCGCGAGAUAACUCUCUCUAAGGAACUCGGCAAAAUGACUCCGUAACUUCGGGAGAAGGAGUGCCUUAUUUAUAAGGUUGCAAUAACAAGAUCCAAGCAACUGUUUAUCAAAAACACAGGUCUCCGCUAAGUCGUAAGACGAUGUAUGGGGGCUGACGCCUGCCCAGUGCCAGAAGGUUAAAGAAGUUGGUUAGUGUAUGCGAAGCUGAUGACUGAAGCCCUGGUGAACGGCGGCCGUAACGAUAACGGUCCUAAGGUAGCGAAAUUCCUUGUCGGGUAAGUUCCGACCCGCACGAAAGGCGUAAUGAUUUGGAUACUGUCUCGGAGAGAGGCUCGGUGAAAUAGACUUGUCUGUGAAGAUGCGGACUACCUGCACCAGGACAGAAAGACCCUAUGAAGCUUUACUGUAACUUGAAAUUGGAAUUGGACUUUGCUUGCGCAGUAUAGGUGGGAAGCGUUGAAGAUAUUCUUGCGGGAGUAUUGGAGCUAUCAGUGAGAUACCACUCUUGUAAUGUUAGAUUUCUAACUUUGAACCAUAAUCUGGUCAAAGAACAGUUUCAGGUGGGCAGUUUGACUGGGGCGGUCGCCUCCCAAAUGGUAACGGAGGCGUACAAAGGUUUCCUCUGAACGGAUAGAAAUCGUAUCUAGAGUGUAAAGGCAUAAGGAAGCUUGACUGUGAGACCUACAAGUCGAGCAGGGACGAAAGUCGGUCUUAGUGAUCUGACGGUACUGAGUGGAAAGGCCGUCACUCAACGGAUAAAAGUUACUCUAAGGAUAACAGGCUGAUCUCCCCCAAGAGUUCACAUCGACGGGGAGGUUUGGCACCUCGAUGUCGGCUCAUCGCAUCCUGGGGCGGUAGUACGUCCCAAGGGUUGGGCUGUUCGCCCAUGAAAGCGGUACGCGAGCUGGGUUCAGAACGUCGUGAGACAGUUCGGUCCAUAUCCGGUGUAGGCGUUAGAAUAUUGAGAGGAGCCUUCUUUAGUACGAGAGGACCGAGAAGGACACACCGCUGGUGUACCAGUUAUCGUGCCAACGGUAAACGCUGGGUAGCUAUGUGUGGAGUGGAUAACCGCUGAAAGCAUCUAAGUGGGAAGCCCACCUCAAGAUGAGUAUUCCCGUGUAAGGUCACGGGAAGACGACCCGUAAAUAGGCACGAGGUGGAAGUGCAGAGAUGUAUGAAGCCGAAGUGUACUAAUAGACCGUCGGCUUGACC
RNAcentral lists this ribosomal RNA (1262 nucleotides) under metagenome. RNAcentral describes it as "bacterial LSU rRNA". It matches the Rfam family "Bacterial large subunit ribosomal RNA", at positions 1638 to 2925 of the family's 2925-position model. The record is from RNAcentral.